GUGAGGAAUAUUGGUCAAUGGACGCGAGUCUGAACCAGCCAAGUAGCGUGAAGGAUGACUGCCCUAUGGGUUGUAAACUUCUUUUAUAAGGGAAUAAAGUGAGGAACGUGUCCCUUUUUGUAUGUACCUUAUGAAUAAGGAUCGGCUAACUCCGUGCCAGCAGCCGCGGUAAUACAGAGGUCUCAAGCGUUGUUCGGAAUUAUUGGGCGUAAAGGGCGCGUAGGCGGGAAGGUGUGUCGACCUGUAAAUCUAUCGUUUCAAGCGGUAGGCUUGGGUUGAAACUGCCUUUCUAGAGGAUUUCAGGGGAGUUUGGAAUUUACGGUGUAGCAGUGAAAUGCGUGGAUAUCGUAAGGAAGGCUUGUGGCGAAGGCGAAACUCUGGGGAAUACCUAACGCUGAGGCGCGAAGGCUAGGUUAGCAAACGGGAUUAGAUACCCCAGUAGUCC
This 445-nucleotide ribosomal RNA is filed under the name uncultured bacterium. RNAcentral describes it as "partial 16S ribosomal RNA". It matches the Rfam family "Bacterial small subunit ribosomal RNA", at positions 354 to 796 of the family's 1533-position model. The record is from RNAcentral.